Molecule: long non-coding RNA, 471 nt
Filed under: Homo sapiens (human)
Lineage: Eukaryota; Metazoa; Chordata; Mammalia; Primates; Hominidae
Description: non-protein coding lnc-AMPH-8:1
Source: RNAcentral
AUGUGAUCUGCCCUCCUUGGCCUCCCAAAGUACUGUGAUUACAGUCAUGAGCCACCACACCUGGCCAGAUGAAAGUGUUUCAUUAUCAUUUCCUCUUUCUAUGUCCCAGGUUCAUGGGGAUUUCUCUUUUUUGUUUGCAGUUGAACUUGGUAAGUUAAAUUUAAAGCAAUAAAAAAUGUCAACUACAUUUUUGUCAACAGAGCAACAGAUAAAAGUGUCUAGGUAUCUUGUGUGGUGUCCACUGAAGACUUUGUAAAUAUAGUUAUACACUGGUACCAGCAGAAACUGAAUCUAAAUUAUGAGCCAUCUGACAAAUAUCACUUCAAUAACAAGCCCCAGUUCGAGUUUGCUUAGGUGAGAAAAACAAGAAACUUGAGGCAAGAACAAAUUUUCAAAUGUCUACUUCAGUCUUUACCAUAAACUUCAUAGGAAAGGAAGAUGAGGCCAUUUACUACUGCACUGCUUAGGACC